CCCAUCUCGAGAAGCCAAAACUACUCCUCCAGAGCAGGAAGGGCCAUGAGCAUUGUGAUGUGAUGGAGCUGGUGGAAGGUAGAUCUGGUCAACUAUGACCUCAGGUGCAUGAACUUGAGACUUCUCUGCAUACUCUUCCUUUGCUGCAUCCAAGACAUCUUCAACCAAGGGAACAUCAUCUUCCCGACAACGUAGUAGGACAGAAGGCUCUUUAAGUCUGAGCAAACUCUGAACAAUAAGAGCUUGCAGAAGCUUCUUAUAGAUAUGGUGGUUGUGGUGAUGGCUGACAUUUAAAAGUUCCUUUGAUGCUGCCUCCUUCAUGGAGCAGACCAAGUCAUCCUGAGCUUGAAGAACCUUGAUUCGAGAGGCAUUGAGUUGCAUGGAGUACUCAAUUUUCUUGCGAACAUCAACUUGUUUCUCCUUACGCUCGUAUUCCUGUCUGAUCUUCUUUUUCUCUGCUUCCACUAGCUGCAACUUCUCAAUGUUGAAUUCUUCUUCGGCGGAGACGGAGAUCUCAUUGGCUUUUUCUUCAGCUUCCUGACGGAUGAAUCUGACCAUCUGCUGGAUCUGCUUGGAGACAUCUGCAUCGUUCAUUUUGUCUGAUUGAUCAGAUAGAGGAGAGGGAGAAUGAUCGAAAUAGUGGAUUUAGAGAGGGAAGGGAUUUAGAGAGGGAAGGGAUUUUGCGAAUGAUGUAGUAGACUCCGCGAUUUGUAAUAUAAUUACAGAUUGAUCGAUGACGCCUUGAGGAUCCGGUUUUCGAGCCGAUUCUGAUUUGACAUCAGCGGUUUCGGAUUAGAACUCCUUAAUGAAUCAGACCGCAUGAACCAGAUUGGAUUAGAAGUUUG
This 845-nucleotide unclassified non-coding RNA is filed under the name Hevea brasiliensis (rubber tree). The record is from RNAcentral. Lineage: Eukaryota; Viridiplantae; Streptophyta; Magnoliopsida; Malpighiales; Euphorbiaceae.